Physeter macrocephalus (sperm whale) is the source of this 698-nucleotide long non-coding RNA. RefSeq lists it as uncharacterized. The transcript is spliced from 4 exons. Lineage: Eukaryota; Metazoa; Chordata; Mammalia; Artiodactyla; Physeteridae. The record is from RefSeq and is a predicted model, not a curated record.
AGAAAUCCGAAAUCAGUUUUGCAGCACUAAAGUCAAAGUGUUGGCAGGGCAAGAACUUCAGUCCUAUAACUGCAAGGAACUGAAUUCUGCCAGCGGUGAGCUUAGAAGAGGAUUGUGAGCCUCAGAUGAGAUAGCAGCCCAGACUGACAUGUUGACUGCAGCCUUGUGGGACCCUGAAUCGAGGACUCCUUCAAGCUGUGCCUGGACUCCAGACCCAUGGAAACCACUUUCAUUAUGGUCCAGCUGAACCAGCUGCUGCCCCUCUCCUUGUAAACUUCAUGUUACAUCCCGGAAGAACUGGAGGAGAAUCAGUUUCCCAUGUAGCAGCUAUUGGGGAUGGAUAGUGGAGCUGAUACUGUAACUGGAGACAGAGGAGAAAGGCUGAGACAGACCAUGCAAUCAGAUAACUUCAAGGAAGGAUGAGAUUAGUUCAAGAAGAUCAACAUGGAGAAUGAAAGAAUAGAAAAUAGCAAGAAGUUACCUUCUUUUCAAAAAGUCCUGUCUGUGGCAAUGUGGAAAAAAGUGACUUGAAUGGGAGCCGGAAACUUGGAGCUCUAGUAAUUACUCCUCCACCAACCAGCUGUGUGAUGCAGGCCAGUCACAUGGCUUCUCGUCCCCUCCUCUGUCUCCAGGUCCUGAAGAUAUCUUCAUAUGGCUGCUGACUAGCAGAGCACCUAAAUCUGUGACACCUAUUUUUA